ACAAAAUUAACCAACUUAUUAUCAAGUACAUGGCUUUGACUAUCCCAUGAAAUUUAUGGCACAUAAUAUGAAAGAGGCUAUUUUGAUGCAUGCCAAAACUUGUGGCAAGUUUUGAUUUUUUUAUUGAUAGAAAAUUAAUCAAGAGCCUUUACAUCAUAUCAAAAUACAGAUGUAGAUGGAUCCUUAACGUUACAUUACACUUUCAAGUCUCAACUAUCAUUGUGUUCAGCUAAAACAUCGAACAGGGCAUUAUAUCAUUACAUAAAUAAGAUACUAAAAGAAAUAACAACAACAACAACAAAAAUUAAGAAAUAUAUAUAGGAGCUUAAUUUACAUGACUCAUGGAAACAGCCACCAAAUUAAGGUUGUUUUGUUUCAUUGUCUUGCCUCAAAUUGCUUCAAUUAUUCAAACUCGAGAGUGUUCUAUGAACUUCCUUAAGAAAGUACCUAGUAUUAGUAGAAGAGGCACACGAAGAAGCAGCAAUUGAUGAAGCUGAAUUUGGUGAUGAGUUUUUAGCUAGUGAAUUUAUUACACUAUCAUUUGAGCUAAUUUCCUUAUCCUCUUCACUAAUUGUUUCCAACAUCUUUGAUGUUCUAUGUCUCAUCACACUAACAUAUUGUGGUGGUGCCACUUCCAUGAAAAACCUUGCAAUGCGAGAAUUUGCCAUUUGUUAAUGUGAAUUUUACUUCAAAUGUUCGGAGAAAAAUAUGAAAAUUGAGGUAAAGUUGUUUUUUGUAUUUGUAUUGAAGAGGAUGUGUUUUUGAAGCACAAGGCAUGGUUCAAUUUAUAAGGGGUGGCUAAAAAAUAAUAACUAGGCUUAAAUUGAGUCAAGGGUCUUAAUCUUCGAGAGUUAAAUCAAAUUUUAUAUGUUAGUGCCGCCUCAAGCUUUUUACAUUAAAUGUGAUUGCAUACUAACUUACAAGAUUUUUUUAUAAUGUGGGACAUGUUUGGUAUGUGUCAAAAUUUGGAUGGAAAUUCUUAUAUCCUUGAAGAUAUGGUUUUUGUUUUGUAUAGUGACUUCCAAAUUUGCACUUUACUUUGAGAAUUGUUAGUGGAGUAGCCGUUUAAUACUCUUCCACGUUUCAACAUAUAAGGAAAUGACUAUCACUUGGAUGUUGAUGGGGUUAGUUUCUAUUUGUAUUCACUUUUUUUAUUCCAUCUUUUAGUAGCA
Molecule: long non-coding RNA, 1172 nt
Filed under: Cicer arietinum (chickpea)
Lineage: Eukaryota; Viridiplantae; Streptophyta; Magnoliopsida; Fabales; Fabaceae
Description: long non-coding RNA (CARI_LNC001802)
Source: RNAcentral